UACGUAGGUGGCAAGCGUUAUCCGGAUUUACUGGGUGUAAAGGGAGCGUAGACGGUUGUAUAAGUCUGGAGUGAAAGCCCGGGGCCCAACCCCGGGACUGCUUUGGAAACUGUGUAACUUGAGUACAGGAGGGGCAGGCGGAAUUCCUGGUGUAGCGGUGAAAUGCGUAGAUAUCAGGAGGAACACCGGCGGCGAAGGCGGCCACCUGGACGACAACUGACGCUGAGGUGCGAAAGCGUGGGUAGCAAACAGG
This 253-nucleotide ribosomal RNA is filed under the name uncultured Eubacteriales bacterium. RNAcentral's name for it is "uncultured Clostridiales bacterium partial 16S ribosomal RNA". It matches the Rfam family "Bacterial small subunit ribosomal RNA", at positions 524 to 776 of the family's 1533-position model. The record is from RNAcentral. Lineage: Bacteria; Bacillati; Bacillota; Clostridia; Eubacteriales.